AGUGAACGCUGGCGGUAGGCCUAACACAUGCAAGUCGAACAGCAGCACAGUAAGAGCUUGCUCUUACGGGUGGCGAGUGGCGGACGGGUGAGGAAUACAUCGGAAUCUACUUUUUCGUGGGGGAUAACGUAGGGAAACUUACGCUAAUACCGCAUACGACCUACGGGUGAAAGCAGGGGACCUUCGGACCUUGCGCGAUUGAAUGAGCCGAUGUCGGAUUAGCUAGUUGGCGGGGUAAAGGCCCACCAAGGCGACGAUCCGUAGCUGGUCUGAGAGGAUGAUCAGCCACACUGGAACUGAGACACGGUCCAGACUCCUACGGGAGGCAGCAGUGGGGAAUAUUGGACAAAGGGCGCAAGCCUGAUCCAGCCAUACCGCGUGGGUGAAGAAGGCCUUCGGGUUGUAAAGCCCUUUUGUUGGGAAAGAAAAGCAGCAGGUUAAUACCCCGCUGUUCUGACGGUACCCAAAGAAUAAGCACCGGCUAACUUCGUG
Molecule: ribosomal RNA, 492 nt
Filed under: uncultured bacterium
Lineage: Bacteria
Description: partial 16S ribosomal RNA
Rfam family: Bacterial small subunit ribosomal RNA
Source: RNAcentral